This 548-nucleotide ribosomal RNA is filed under the name uncultured bacterium. Its description in RNAcentral is "partial 16S ribosomal RNA". It matches the Rfam family "Bacterial small subunit ribosomal RNA", at positions 355 to 920 of the family's 1533-position model. The record is from RNAcentral.
UGGGGAAUAUUGGACAAUGGGCGCAAGCCUGACCCAGCCAUGCCGCGUGAGUGAUGAAGGCCCUAGGGUUGUAAAGCUCUUUCGCCAGGGACGAUAAUGACGGUACCUGGAUAAGAAGCCCCGGCUAACUUCGUGCCAGCAGCCGCGGUAAUACGAAGGGGGCUAGCGUUGUUCGGAAUCACUAGGCGUAAAGCGCACGUAGGCGGAUCUUUAAGUCAGGGGUGAAAUCCCGAGGCUCGACCUCGGAACUGCCUUUGAUACUGGAGGUCUCGAGUCCGGGAGAGGUGAGUGGAACUGCGAGUGUAGAGGUGAAAUUCGUAGAUAUUCGCAAGAACACCAGUGGCGAAGGCGGCUCACUGGCCCGGUACUGACGCUGAGGUGCGAAACGCGUGGGGAGCAAACAGGAUUAGAUACCCUGGUAGUCCACGCCGUAAACUAUGGAUGCUAGCCGUUGGGCAGCUUGCUGUUCAGUGGCGCAGCUAACGCUUUAAGCACCCGCCUGGGGGAGUACGGUCGCAAGAUUAAAACUCAAAUGAAUUGACGGGGUC